GUGGGGAAUUUUGGACAAUGGGGGAAACCCUGAUCCAGCCAUCCCGCGUGUGCGAUGAAGGCCUUCGGGUUGUAAAGCACUUUUGGCAGGAAAGAAACGGCGCGUGCUAAUACCAUGCGCAACUGACGGUACCUGCAGAAUAAGCACCGGCUAACUACGUGCCAGCAGCCGCGGUAAUACGUAGGGUGCAAGCGUUAAUCGGAAUUACUGGGCGUAAAGCGUGCGCAGGCGGUUCGGAAAGAAAGAUGUGAAAUCCCAGGGCUCAACCUUGGAACUGCAUUUUUAACUACCGGACUAGAGUAUGUCAGAGGGAGGUGGAAUUCCACGUGUAGCAGUGAAAUGCGUAGAUAUGUGGAGGAACACCGAUGGCGAAGGCAGCCUCCUGGGAUAAUACUGACGCUCAUGCACGAAAGCGUGGGGAGCAAACAGGAUUAGAUACCCCAGUAGUCC
RNAcentral lists this ribosomal RNA (450 nucleotides) under uncultured bacterium. Its description in RNAcentral is "bacterial SSU rRNA". It matches the Rfam family "Bacterial small subunit ribosomal RNA", at positions 354 to 796 of the family's 1533-position model. The record is from RNAcentral.